This 486-nucleotide ribosomal RNA is filed under the name uncultured Atopobium sp. RNAcentral describes it as "bacterial SSU rRNA". It matches the Rfam family "Bacterial small subunit ribosomal RNA", at positions 8 to 507 of the family's 1533-position model. The record is from RNAcentral. Lineage: Bacteria; Bacillati; Actinomycetota; Coriobacteriia; Coriobacteriales; Atopobiaceae.
AGAGUUUCGAUCCUGCUCAGGAUGAACGCUGGCGGCGCGCCUAACACAUGCAAGUCGAACGAUUAAAGCACCUUCGGGUGUGUAUAAAGUGGCGAACGGCUGAGUAACACGUGGGCAACCUGCCCCUUUCAUUGGGAUAGCCACGGGAAACCUGGAUAAUACCGAAUACUUCGAGACUUCCGCAUGGAAGACUCGAGAAAGCUCCGGCGGAGAGGGAUGGGCCCGCGGCCUGUUAGCUUGUUGGUGGGGUAACGGCCUACCAAGGCAAUGAUGGGUAGCUGGGUUGAGAGACCGACCAGCCAGAUUGGGACUGAGACACGGCCCAGACUCCUACGGGAGGCAGCAGUGGGGAAUCUUGCACAAUGGGCGAAAGCCUGAUGCAGCGACGCCGCGUGCGGGAUGAAGGCCUUCGGGUUGUAAACCGCUUUCAGCAGGGACGAGGCGAAGGUGACGGUACCUGCAGAAGAAGCCCCGGCUAACUACGUG